This 18813-nucleotide long non-coding RNA is filed under the name Coffea arabica (coffee). RNAcentral describes it as "long non-coding RNA (CARA_LNC004842)". Lineage: Eukaryota; Viridiplantae; Streptophyta; Magnoliopsida; Gentianales; Rubiaceae. The record is from RNAcentral.
UGGAUUACAACCUGAAAUGUCCAGCAACUUUGUUGCUAAAAGUUUAGCUUCUCCCCUUGAUUUUUCAGAUUGUCCAGGAACCUCCUGAAGGUGUAGAUGGUGUUGGCUAUAUUGUUUUGCACUUUUGGAUGAUCAUCAUAAUUAGCCCAGUGACUUUAAUUGAUUGUAAUUUGUAAAGACAAUAUUCCGAAACUUCCCCUCAGCCUGGGGGUUAGCCCAUGGAGGAUGCCAAUUUCUUUUGAUUGAUAGCUCGUCGAUUCAACGUUUUGCCGAUUUCUAGACUGAACUAAGUCAAGAUGGUGGCCUGUCUAAUUUUUUUUUUUUUUUUUUUUUGUGGGUCCAAGGUCAACUUCUAUAUAUAUUAGUGGCCUGUCUAAGUAAUUUGUGCUUUUGAUUGCUGUUAACACUUUUAGCAACUGGAGAUCAAAUGACUCUUAGAUGACUUUAAGACUGGUUGGAGAUGGUUUAUUACAUGGGUUGAAGACUUGGGAGUUUUUACAUGUGUUGCAGGCUUUGAAGCCAAUUUUUUUCUCAAACAAGGAAAAAUGGUUGCAGAUUCUGAAAGCCGCUUUUAGAAGUUUCAUUGGCUUCCUUCUGCUACAAGUGCAUCUUUGAACUCAGGCUGAGUUUGGACUCUGCACCCCAAAAAAAAAAAAACUUUGGUCACUUCUGAUGCUGAGUUAAUCUUUCGGUCGGGGGAGAGCCCGAGUUGCAGACAUUUGGGCCUCACUCCACUGUCGUUGGCCUGGGCGCUUGAGACAAGCAAACUGCUUGAUACAAGUUAACAUUUUUCUUCCAGAAAAUGGUAUCAAAAGUUUUCCUGCUCCAAGGCUUGAUGGGGAACCAAUGUCCUGAGUAAUAGGGCUUGGAGGCCCCAUCUAGGAUGCUUUUACCGGAUCAGGAAAAUCUGCAUGAGACAUCCAGAAUUUUUCUAAUCUAAACGGUUUGACAGAUGGGUCUUGGUUCAGGGGAUCAAGCUUAAGCAAGCUCGGACAGUGAUCCCAAUGGAGUCUGGCUAAAUGAAUGAAUUGGGCAUCUGGGAAUCAAGUAACGCCAAUCUGGAUUACAAGAGACCCGGUCCAACAGUUCGUUUGUCACCACUACAAUCGAAUCAUGAUCCGGAUCAUUAUUCGCACAACUUUUGUCUUGGAUUGCAGAUUCCUGCUCUUGCGGCUCCAGCUAGUUGAACUGAAGCAUGUGUAUCGGGAAGCUAACGGAUGUGCUGAUGCUUUAGCAAAGUUGGGAUGCAAAUUGGAGAAGCCUUUUGUGAUUUUUGAAUCUUGUCCUCGAGAAAUUUCUUUUGCGUAUGAUGAGGACAACAGAGGGGUCUAGCAAAGUUGGGAUGCAAAUUGGACAUGCCUUUUGUGAUCUUUGAAUCUUGUCCUCGAGAAUUUUCUUUUGCGUGUGAUGAGGACAGCAGAGGGGUCUGUUUACCCCGUAGUAUUGGGUUGGAUUGUAAUAGUUAGGCAUCAUCUAUCGUACUUUCUAUUUCUUAUUAAUGCGGAUUUCAUGCUUUUUUUUUUUUUUACAAAAAAAAGGGGGGGGGGGGGGGGUUGUUGAAGGUUGCGUUAAAAGAAAGAAAGAAAAAGAAAAAAAUGAGGAGCUGAAGAUUGUACCUGUUGUAGGGCCGCGGUACGAGUUGGACGAGAAAAGAGAGUUAAUAGCAUUGAAAUGACAAUGCUUGCUUGACUGCUUGAGGAUGGACGGUAAAAACUUCAAAGUUCUCAAAAUAAACGGAGGACGGACGGUGUGGUUAAGAAACUAGAGAGCGGCAUGGCAUACUAGUAGUACUCCAUCAUUACCGACGGAUGUUGGUGCAAGCGAAAGGGGCUUGCAUUCCUUAAUCACGAGGUCUUGGAUUUGAAAUUUAUGAGAAUGGAAAAGACAAUGUUGGGAGAGUUUUCCAUUACAAGGGAUCUGAUGCGGUUUAAAUAGGAUUAAUCGUAGAUCGUGAAAUGGAUGCAAAUGCCUGCGGGUUAUACAAAAAAAAAAAUAGUACUCCACCAUUUAACCCGUCAUUGUUUAAUACGAACUAUUGAAAUAGGGCUAUUUUUGUGAUUUUUGCUAUAUUAUUUUCAUGUAUUUGCAUGAAAUGAACGGUGUGGUCCUGUUUCACAGUAAUUAAUUAAUGUAUCAGUUUUUGUGACGUGAUGUAUAUGAGAUAAAAAAAAAAUUACUGAGAAAUAAAAAAUUGAUUGGGAAUCGUAAUUUUCAUGCAAUCAAAAUAAUAUUCGAAAAGAAUAAUGUUUCCAUCCAAACACGCUCGACCGGCAGAUACAGCUUUCAUUUUUUGGAACCAAUCCUUUAUUUGGUUCGUUCCUGGGGGUCAUUUUUCCAGAAUAGAGCAAUAGAAAUUACGUUCAUCGGCUAGAAAACAUGUCUGCGGUACGUAACGCAAUUUGUGCUGCAAGAGAGGCAGCUUGCUUUUACUGUUUGGGGGUCAUGCAUGGCGUGCCCAAAGGCAUCGUAAUGUCAUAUUGGAGGGUAAAUUGUCUUACCGUAAUUGGUAAUGGGCACUCUCCUAUACCGUAUGUUUUGUGUCAAAUUAAGUAAUCUUUUUUUUUGGCUUGGGUGUACCCAAUUCAGCUUUCUACUGUAGCCAAUUACAACUCAAAAAGGAGUGCAGGCCUCAGUCUGGCAAGUUCAAAGAUUAAAUUGCAGUCCCUCGCCAAGGGGCCCUCUCCGAUUGAAUCUGGCAGCUUACUGUCCCUUUCAUCCUUGUUAUCGUUUGCAUCUCUAUCAUCAUUAGGGACAAUUCUAUGGCUGAUACACGCAGAGAGAGAGAAAGUGAUAGAUAUACAGCGAACAGUAGAGCCCAUCCCAUCCGUAUUGCUUAAGAAUAACAAGAACAAAACAGAAGAAAAUAUUUCUGAAAUUCGAGUUACCAACACACAAAAUUCGCAAAAAAAAAAGGUAAAAACUGUGAAAUAUUAGCAAAGGUCAUGCAGGCCGCUGUUUGCUCGUUUCUGCAUCUUCUGUCUAGGCAUUUAUUUCGGCUUUUAGGCCGUGAAAGGGGUAUAGACGACCCUAGAAACGAAGAAAAUGGGAAAAAGAACCGAGUGAUCUGAGGAAGGGGAAUAGUAAAUGCUCCCAGUUAAUGAUACAAAGCUGGCAGAGAAAGUGAACUGCAAUUCCUCUCUGGCAUAAAACUUAAAAAAAAAAAAGAGAGACAGAUGAAACAACUUUGCAUUACAUUAACUUUAAAGGACCUUCUUUCUGUGUUUUACAGUCAUCCUCGUUUUGGAGACCUACUUUUAUCUCGAAGAAAGAUGUCAAGUGAGCGACACAGCAGACUGCAGAGUCGACGGAGCAUCCCAACUUCUCGUACUCUUGCCCAGGAUUUACGACUAAUUCUUGAAUUCAUUGGAUGAGGCAAAGGUAAUCUCUCUCUCUCUCUACAUAUAUAUGCAUGGAUGGAAUGAAUGAAACUUCUUCAAUACCCUGAGUUGCACUUUUUCUUUUUCUUUUUUAAAAAAAUCUUUCCACGGUCAUUAAAUUGGGAUAUUCAGACCGUUUCGAUUUGUUUGGAACACAGAAACAACCUGAGGUGAAAAGACCAAGCCUAGCUGCUUAAUCUUUGGUAAUGCGCGCAUGUUUGAGACCUAAACAUCGAAGGGCACAAAUAUCCUAGUAUUUUGAGUUCAUCCGCUUGCUCUCCAGCCGACAUGGAAUCUGGGACAAGUAGGAUUGAGGCUUUGAUGCACAUUAGAAUUUGGGCCAAGUCGUUCAUCAGUUAAUAUUAGUAGCAAUCGGGAAAGAGCACUUCUCCUCGUACUCCCUCCGUCCCACUUUGAUAGUCCUGUUUUCCUUUUUUGUCUGUCCCAAAUUACAGUCCACUUUCCAAUUGAAGAAUGUAGUUGUAUUUUCAUUUUUCUUAAAUACCCUUAUUCAAUACAAGUUGUUGUUGCUAUAAACCUACCCCAUUUAAUGAGAGUUGAUUCUUUUUUUACCAUCAAUUCAAGUUCCCAUAAAGUUGUACUCUAUUUAAUGUGAGAGUAUUUUAGGAAAAUAGCAAUCUAAAUUUAUUUUUCCAACAAAAUUAACUACUUUUUCUUAAACUGUGUGAAAAAAGAAACAGAACUAUCAAAGUGGGACGGAGGGAGUAUAUUCUUUUUCAAGGAAAUAAGACGAAUUACACUAGUAGCUAGGCGAGAAAUUUUUGGGACGCGUUGAUUCCAUCAUUACGGGUCAUUAAUUUGCUGAUAAGUAGGUUCACUUUUUGAUAAAAAUCAUACAUUAUGUUACAAAAGUGUGCCUUAUUCAAUGUAAGUAGUUGUUACUAUAAAUCUACCCCAUUUAAUGAGAGUUGAUUCUUUUUUUACCAUCAAUUCAAGUUCCCGUAAAGUUGUACCAUAUUUAAUUUGAGGGUAUUUUAGAAAAAUAGCAAUCUAAAUUUACUUUUCCAACAAAGUUAACUACUUUUUUUUAAACUAUGUGAAAAAAGAAACAGGAUUAUCAAAGUGGGACGGAGGGAGUACACUAUACUAUCACCGUUGGAUGCACGACACAUAUGCAAAAUUUGGAUUUCAAAUUUAAACUCGAAUUAUAUAUCAUGCAUUCAAUCCAACGGUGAAAGUGUAGCACUGUCAAUGUAUAGAAGAUUAAUUCAAAAAGAAUUGCAAAAUUUUGAAGCCGGUGAGUUUUAGGGGCUUUUCCCGGGGAAUUGCCUAAUACUACCCAACUCCAUAUAUAUAUAGGAAGCAAAGUCCUGCCUUAGGUGACUAUAGACAUACAUAGAUGUGACCUAACUAACUACAAUCACCAAUUAGCACAUUCACGACCAAGUCAGCAUAACCAACCACGUAGUUGAGGUGCAGAACCAAAUCACCAAUCAUCUUUGAGCUGCGGGCUGCCCCUACUUAACUAGAAGUGAUUUGCCGCUUUCAUUACCUUAUUAUUAAGCCCUUUUUUUUUUUCCUGGUUAUCUUUUCAGAGCAAUUACUAGUAAUGUAACGUAUGAUCAACAAUUUUACACCCAGCAAUCUGGUCAACUGAUCAUGCUACUAUGAUAAUGCAACAGAUUCUUGCUUGCCGAGCGAAGUAAGACAUAUGAUAACUGCGAUUUUGUAAAGCUGGGAAAAUUGAAAAUUAAAAGAAAAAAAUUGUGGGCUGAAGCCUGACGCCUGCCGGGAGGCCCUCGAAUGCAAAGAUUAAAAAGGAUAAGAGGCCGACCGUAGAUCAUAAGACGUGAAUAGUACUAGAUUCUGAUCCCACAGUCAUUCGUGUCUGGGAUCUGGGGACCAUUCAUUCAUCUCUGGCAAUAAUAAUAAUGGAUGAUUGGAUUACCCUCAAAAUCUCACUGCUUCGCUCUUCUCUCGAGAUGCAUGAUCCCUCCCCCCACAGCCAACUGCACUGCACUGCUCAUCUUUUUACGUUUUACCCCUACUGCUGCUCUGAAACCCGUCUCUUCUUCUACCCCUCUCAACUAAAACCCUUACAAAAGAUCCCCCCACCACCACCACUACUACUAGUUAACUGCGUUUAUAAUCGGCACUCAUAAAUGCCUAACCUCUCCAUACAGAGAAGAAAAGGGAAAAGAAAACAAAAAGAUCGAUUAAAGACUUUUGAGGUAAUUAUAUAUUGAUCCUCAAAUUAAAGAAGAAAGGAGAAGAAUAUAUAAUUUGUUGAAAUAUGAAUGUGGUUUUUUGACUGCUUGAAUUUCUGGUACCAUCAUUUCAUUUUCGUGCAUCUCUUGCCUGAGGAAGGACUCCAACGCUUGCUAUAGGUUGUUGAAGGGCUUAAAGAUUAUGUCAGAAUAUCAUACCAUCUGCUGCUGCUGCUGCCGCUGCUAGUAUUUUGUGUUUUUCUUCUACAUGGCAGCAAAUCUGACAUCCAAGAAAUACCGUACUCAUGCCCAACUUUAAACAUGCGCAUGUGAAUCAUAACAGAUAGCUUUCUACACUAGUACUUCUUCUGUUCUCCUCUUUCCCCCACUUUCACAAAUAUAAAAUCCAAGGGGAAGCAACAUGACAGUACCCCUCUUCCGAUCCCCCCAAGGCUAACAGUUUAACGUUCAUAUUUCCAAAAGAGAAGGGAAUUACGAAUCAGUAGUUAGUAUUUCUUUGCCCUUUAUACGUCCGGAGCUUCUUCCGGUAAAGAAUGGUAAAAUUCCCGUUUCUGUUGUCGAUCGUUCAAAGUGCUGCUCUGCCUACUGAACUUAAUACUACUAGUUGCUUUAAUUUUGCAUCCAUGCUCAUAACACAUUUGGUUUGGUGUAAAGCAGCUCAAGAGCAACGCAUAUAUUUUUUACUUGUACAUUUGAGUUUUUCAGAGUGAGAUAUUGAUGUAUACAUAUAUAUAUAUAUACAUACAGACACCAUUUUCAACUUACUCCAUGCAGGAAAGUUGAGUGGUCCUGAUCCAUUUUUCCUUUCUCUACAAAGUGGGCGUUUUAAAGGAGCAGUGCAGAACUGGUCCCUCACCUACCAAGCACAUAAUGUAAACUGCAAUACCAUAUGCUGCUACUAAUCUAUAAGAAUAUAUAUAUAUAUAUGCUUCCCUCUACUUAUGCAUGCAUAUAUGCAUAAUACACAUCAAAGAUGACGCUGUUGCUUUCACUAGUUUUUACCCAGACACCAUUACUUUUCAAGAUUGAUCAAACUUUCCUAAUUGACACUAGUUCUGCUGCCUACUACUGUAACUUGGCUUGUCAAAUUCUCACCUCACUUCAAGUAACAUUUGUUUGCUUAUAUGCGAACAGAAGAAGACACGACCACGCAUGCCACUGCUUGCUAGCGAAAUGAACAAGACGACACAGUAGCAUGAUUCCCUAUCAUGAUUCAUGACCAGCCAAUUAAAGUUGCAAUUACUUAAUUCAUGACCACUCCAUCCAUCUCACUAAUUAAAUCUAACUUCAAACUCAAUGCAUAGACAUAGACAUAGACACAAAUAGCUUCUGAUUUUUAUUAUUGGUGCCCGUCCUAUUGAUUGGUGUUCUUAGAAUUAGGGCCACGUGAACAAAUUGAGUCCAAUUAAUAUCUGUCAAUUCAAGCUGCGUGAGUGAAUGAAUGCACGUAAACUAUAUAGUGGCCAUUAAUUCAUAAGGUCUGAAUACUCUUCUUGGCUAAAAUUCAUUCUCUCUCCGCUUAAACUUGGACUUAAACAAAAUACUAUAACUACUCCUAGCUACUGUAUUUGAUCAAAAAAUAAGUAAACAAAAGAAAAAGAAGAGGAAAAUCAAUGUCGACUACUGAAGCAGCGCAGCGGGUCUAAAAGUUUUUGCAACUUCAAUUGGAAUUCAAGCAGCUAGAGUUGCUUCUUCUUCUUCUUCUUCUUCUUUUUCCUCAUUCAGCUGUCAAUACAAGCAUCAAUUAAAGGCCAACUUUCCGAACAAACGUGUUCGAUGGUCCCCCAAGGCAAAGGUUGUUGAAAUAGAAACCCCGGCCUUUGCUUCCUUAGAAGCAAAUUAAUUUGUCUCUCAGGACCAAAUGAUACAUACAUACAUACAUACAUAUGUAUGUAUACAUAUACCUAUAGUUAGUACGCACCAGCGGUGAGUGGUAUUUGCCUGCCAGAAAACAACGUCCGGAGUGACAUUGCACUUGCAGAAGAAGGUCACGCACGACUUUGUUAUCAAGGCAAUGAUAGCUCAGCAUGCGUGAAGAAAAUUUGAUAAGAUUUUGACUAGCACAUUAUUUUAUCUGUCAGAUGCCAAGGGUACACGUGGCUGUCCAUGAGCCACUGCUUUCUUUCCUGGGGUUUAUUUUUCCCCCCUUGUGCCGUGGUCGGUUGAAUUCCGGCAUCUUCUCUUCACCAUCGCACAACUUCAUUUAAGUGUGUUCUCUCUGCAAAUGUUGAAAAUUGAGCGUCCUCCUUCAAAACCUUCCCCACAAGUUGUUGAAGAGACAGCUAGGGCUCCGCAGCACUGAAUCCAAAGAAAAUUAAGCUGCCAUUCUUUCUUCUCUUCAUGCUUUGCAAUUGGCAACACACCUAGGAGCUGCUUGCUUGACUGUCGCUGCGGUAAGUGAGAUUUUUCUCUCAUGCUUAUCAUUCCUUAUCGUGCACUGCAGAUUAAGAUUACUUGAAGCAUAGCUUCGGUAGAGGGCUUCCGCUGCCCGCGUGGCCCCUUUUCAUUUCCUGCCAUAAGCCGUCUUCAGCAACCGCACUCAGCAUAUUGUCGCAUCACCAUGGAAAUAUUAAUAUUUGGUCUUUACCCUACUUAAAUUAUUGAUUGGCAUCCUAACAAUGCAGACAAAUAUUUUUUGCACUUUUUAUGUUGAGGGUUGUUUAAUUAAUAGCAAUGAUUGCUCGUAUAUUUAGCUUUCUUCUUUUAGGUUGCGGCGCAGAAAACUGUUUCUGAGAAUUAAGUCCCUAAUUUCGUGAAAGGAGAGUUGCUUCCUUCAGUUACAUUCCUUGGGAGCACUAGUCGAACUGGUUGGCUUGCAUUUUCGGUAUUUGACCCCAAUUAUCAUGAGAAACAAAAGAUGAUUGCCAGGGAAAUAGAUGCGGCGGCAGAUGUUACAGCAAAACAAGAAGGCAACACAGCAACAGAUGAGAAGACUUCUAAUUAUAAGGCUUCAAUAUCCGGUACUUCUGCAGCAGCGGCAUCAUCAUCAUCAUCAUCAUGGUCAAGGUUGAAAGAUCCACGGAUUGUGCGGGUGUCAAGGGCAUUUGGAGGUAAAGACCGGCAUAGCAAAGUCUGCACUGUGAGAGGGCUUAGAGACAGGCGUGUUAGACUUUCUGUUCCCACAGCUGUUCAACUUUAUGAUCUUCAAGACAGGUUAGGGCUUAGUCAGCCAAGUAAAGUUGUUGAUUGGUUGUUGAAUGCCGCCAAGCACGAGAUAGAUGAGCUGCCCCCGCUGCAAAUGCCUCCCGGAAGCUUUAACCAUAGUUUUCAACCAGUUUGGGCUACUCAUCAUCCUGUAGUUGGAGCUCAUCAAGUAACCAAGGAUCAAGGACUUAGGAUUGGUGCUAGUAUCAAUUGGGGGGAUCACGAUCAUCAUCCUAGUGAACCAUCAGGGUCGAAGACGUGGGAUUCGGAUGCCAUUUUGAGGCCUAAAUCCAAGGAAUUAAUCGCAAGGUCAGGGGAUUCGUCCGAGGAUAAAGAAACUUGGACAAGAUCAAGUGAAGAGGGGAAGCAACAUAGCAAUAAUUAUGAAAGCACUAGUCAUGGCGCUGCAUAUUUUUCAUCCAACAAUUUUUUCUCAAGACUUGGCCACUCUACUUCACCAAGCCUAGGGUUGCUGAAUAGCACAGUGCUGCCAUACAAUUCUUUAAUCAGAUGGGAUCCUUCAAAUUUGUCUUUGUCACAAUCUGGAAGCCCAUCUGGGUUGACUCCAGUACCCCAACCGGAAGAUUUCCACAACUUCAGCGUUGUGCCAUUGCCAUCAACGAUGUCCGUGCCAUCAGGCGGACCUCAGGUUCUCGUGUACCAGCCUGCUAGUAGCAUAACGCAGUCUUAUUUUCCUUCCCACAUUGCUCCUCCUGUUACAGUGGAUUACGCCCAGAAACAAAUCGAGUUCCAAAUGCUGAACUCGACUACGGAAAAUCCACUCACGAGUUCCCUAGCACCACCUGUUAGUGACUCUACAAGCCAACAUGCUGCUGGUAGACCCUUUCGCAUACUAAGUACAACCACCAAUCUCCUCCCUUCACAAAAUGAUCGCGAAAGCAAGCAAGACCUUGACAAUGACUUCAGUUCAAGGUAAUUAAUCUCAAACCUCUAUAUAUAUUACAAAAGUUUGUAACUGCUUCAGAACCAAAGCAGAUAUAUGUAUGGCUGCAUGAUUAGGAGUAAAUUUGUGAUCAAUGUAUACGUAUAGUAUUUUAGAGCAAAACAUUUUGAGGGAUCAAAUAGGCCUUCGUGGGGGUUAUAUGUGCAUUUGAUGACAAUCUAUUGCUUCAUGGAAAGUUCAAUUUGAGAUGUUAACAAUUGUUGUCAUCACUGCCAUGAUCUCAUGAUUGAUUGUGUAAGCUUUCAUUGCUUGAACUGCCGAGAAACCCUUCAAAGAGAUUUACAUUUGGACCCUAUUCAAUUGGUGCGACAGAUAUUUCAUGUUUGAUAAGAAGAUGCAAAACUGGAUUUUUAUUCAUAUCGACCGAGGAUACAUGAAUGCCUCAGUAGAGAGAGUGAAGGACCAUUAAUUAUGGUUAUCUUGUCGGUCGAUCAUACCCAUUAGUAUCUGAUAUGUUGUUACGUUGCAAAGUUUCUGAAUGGUGUUUGUAUACAUUAUUCAUCUUGUUAUUUUGCCAAGCAUUUGUACAACGAAUAUGCUAAGCACUCAAUUGGUAGAUCCUCUUUUCAUGGCUGAUCUAAUUAUUUACUUCGUAGACAUGUAGUUCUGAUGUUCUUCAGACUUUUCAACUUUGUUUGGGGAAAAAGAGCAGCGAAACUUUCUUUCGAGAUUGGUACUCGUUUUUGCAGCCUCACAAGAAAGUUUGGCCAAUGUGCAGAGACAAAAAGACGUAUACGUGUUAAAUGAAAUGCUAGUCUUUUCAACCAUCUUCCACACUGAUUUAGGGAUCUUUUUUUUUUUAUUUUGGGCGGGGGGGGGGGGGAUAAUCCUCUGUGUUUUGACUUAGUUAAACCCUAGUACAAAAACCAAGUGAAGAGAGGAGAUAAGCAUAUUGCAUUUGUUUUGAGACUAAUUUGUGUGAAAAAAGUAAAGAAUGAGCAAAGAUGGGGCUGUCGCGAUUAAGAACAAAAAGAAGUAGAAAAGGGUGUGUUUUGUGGAACAAGACGGGAUAGAGAUUGCAGUAUAGUAGCUAGUGGUGUGUAGCUAUCUCUGCACGAGAUCCAACAUGAGUAUCUGCUAGUGUUAGAAGGAGGACCAGCUGAUUAAGGACCCCUUAAAAGAGAGGCAUCAAAAGAAAAGAUGGGAGGGUUUGUGGUCCUCAACCAAGAACCUUGGGGAGGACAAGGGAGAAGCCGAAAGAAGAAGAGAAGAAGCCCGUGGUACAAAUACAAUACAAAGUUUACUUAGGGUUCGAUCGGAAGCUUUGCUCUUUUCUUUUGAUCGAGAGGAUCAUGUUUGUUAAAUAAGGGACCACAUGGAAAGCUUUCGCAGGAGAUCCUUCACCGGCCAAUUUUGUUAGUCCACUGGUCCUAUUCUUAUUUCAUACGCUGCCUAGCAAGCCAAAUGACUUUAAUGGCUUAGUCAUUUUCUCUUCGAGUUUCUGUAAUUUAUUAGGGAUAACAACCGCUGAAAUAUUCACACCCAUGAAAGCUAUCUGUGUAGCAUUUCUCCUACUUCUUGACUUUCUGAAGUUCUCUGAUAAGGAUAAGACCCUCCGGGAAUCUUGACAGCCCAAAGAUAGUAGAGAACAAUGGAAACACGCCUAACGUUAUAUACAUUGGACAUCUUGCAGUUAAUCCAUGUUAUUCUUUAUUCUUUUUUUUUUUGUUUUCCAGAGACGAACAUCUGACCAAACAGGUGUAGUACGUAUCUAUCUGAAUUUUUUGAAACAAAUCCACACAUUUUAACGAGGUAAUUGGUGGGAGGCCAAGUUUUAAAGGCUUGAUAGUCGGUGGGGUUGGUGGUUAGUUAAUCCUUGUUAUUCGGACUUCCACUCUCUAGAGUUUUUGAAUCAUUGGUCAAAGAUGAGAGUAAUAGAUCUUCUUUGCGUUGCAUUUUCUGCAUAUUUGGUGCCCAUCUAGAGUUCAUGAUGUGAAGCCUAUAUUGCGAUGUCAAAUGUGUAAUGACUGAAUGCUUCAAAGAUUAAAUAAUUUUGUGUCAAAAAACUACGACAAGUAAAAUGAGAUAUCGAUCAAAGCAUGGUGAUUUGUAAUGUACGUGCUACAUCGAUGACAAAAGUCACAGCUUUUCCCCCGAUUUUCUAUUACUUGCACGUCACAAAGACACAGUUCGAGUGCAAAAGCUCAUUUAACAAUUUCACUAGAGAAGAAGGGGAUGUUUGAUCCAUUCUUGAGGUGCAUAUAAAUACUAUAUAUCUUUCAGGUGUUUAUUGCCCCUAUUUUACUUGUUAAUUUGCUUUUGGGUUAAAAAUUUGAGAACAAGGUUUGCUAUAUAGGAAUGAAGAAAGAAUUGAGAAUUCCUAUAUUCAGCCACUCUUUUUGAUCGUCCCUCGUUAAAACUUAAGGACUUUUCACCAAAAAUUCGUUAUGUCAAAUUAAGCCACAAAAGAAUACCAAUAUACAACUUUUCACAAGUGUACUAGAAUGGUUGAUUGUCUCUUGUAAUUGAUUUGCUGAGAAGAAAAGCAAGUCAGUUAAGGAAUAUGUAUUUUUUUUUUCCCUUUUUCUAUGGUCACAUGAGGGGAAAAUAGACUACAACGAUCAAAUCCCAUUUUAGGUAUCCCUUCAUUGCUACAUCCUUAUAUAUUUGGCAUCCUAACUAGUUAGCUUAUAUAUAUAUAUAUAUAUACACACUUCUCAAUUGGUUGGUUGUAUGGGUAGGAAUGGAGGGAUUUUUGUCGGUGUUUAUAUCUCUCAGUAGACAGGCUGAUUAAAGCUUGACGAUAUUGCCCAAGCUAAAGCUAAAGCUAAAGCACAGCAUUACACAUCUUUCAUUCUCGAUGAAGCGAAGCUUUAUGAUGGUCGCAAUACUUUAGAUGCUUAACAAUUUUCAUUUCCUUGACACUAAUGAGAGGAAACAGCUGCAUGCAAGCCUACGUCGAUUAUGUCUUACAAUUUACAUGCUAUAUGUACGUAAGCAUAUAUACAUGCAUAUACAUGUAUGGGCAGUUUUGCUUUUCUUGAAUUUUUUUUAAAUUAUUUUUUUUAGCAAUGGAGAACAAAUUAAGAGGGAUUUCAAUACCCCGACCUUUGAGGUUAAAGUAUGUUAACUUUGCCCAGGCUGUGGCAAUAAGCUCUUGGUAUUAGAAAAAGCUGAGCUGUGGGGUGUAUGUAAUGUUAUAAACCCUCGAACGCAUUCUAACAAAACUAAUUGUGCCCUACCAAUCUUCUUUUGGUGCCAGUCCUGCCUUUCUUUUUAUUCAUUUUCAAAGCACAGACAACUUAACAGAUCGACUGCAGAUCGUGCUUUUAAUACGGCUUCGCAUGCCUAAGAAAUUUUCACCUCCUAUGUUGCAUAUAUGAGAAGAGAGCCCAUUUGUGCCUGCUCCUGUAACCAUGGUUUUCCAAUGUAACUAAUGUGCCUUUAUGUUAAAGUCUACAGAUCACUGCUAAUUUUUUAAAGGGGGGAAAAUGAUAACCAUGAGAUGAGAUAAGACUUUCUUGAAUUUGUUUUUGAGUUACUUCAGAAAUCUAGAUUCUAGAAGUGAUUCUAUGAGGUUUAAGAGCCCAACGACAUGGAACCCUUGCUAACAAAUGGGGAAAAAAAAAAAAAGGGCAGACAAAGAAUUCAACGGUUUUUAAAAGAAAAAUAAAAAAAAGAUAAAAAAGUGAUUGAAAAUAGUUGUGAUUGAAAAUAAAAAGAUAAAAAUGUUCUUCUUAGACAAUAAAGAAUUACGAUCGCGUAGAAUAGAUUAAUCAAUCCAAAAAAAAAAAAAAAGGUGAUUAGAGAACAAGGGAAGUAACCACCAGCCCAAAAGGCUAGUGGCCACCAUCAAGCCUUUAAGACUUGAUAGGGCCCUUACCUCCCACUAAUUGCCACAUUAAAAUGUGGAUUUGGUUCAAAAAAUCCAGACGAGUACCUAGUGCAUCCGUGUGAUCCGGUAGUAGUUCAGUCCCCUUCAAAUUACUUCUGAAUCUCCUUAUGUCCACCCCCUUCCCUAGUAUAGGAUAGAUUAUGAUAUACUACAGUUAUGGUUUCUAAAAAAAAAAAGAGAGAAAGAGAGAGAACAAGGGAAGUAGAUUUGUUCCUUGAAUAAUAAGAGAUCCGAUGAAAUAAUAAUGUCCUUUUUCACUAUUGAAGGCACCUAACUAGAUCCUUUCCAGACUUUGGCAAUUGUGACGGAACCUCGUCUCUUGGACCUUACUCUAACAUCUCUAAGUGAUCCUCGCCAGUCUUAAGAUUGUACUUGCUCCAGAAACUAUAAAUAAAUAAAUUAAAAGUCUUAGCCCUCAGAUUCUACUGAAUUACGUCUUCUUGCAUCGUAUAAUUGAAGAUGGUGUCUUGACUUGCUGCAGCCCAAUAGACGUGUGGUAAAACUCACGGACACCGACCGAGAGACGAAAGCAACAGGAUAACCCAGGCUAAGGCCCAAGCCCAACCCAACAGAAAAGUUCAAAAACAGAAUGGAAGGAGAGCUCCCGGCGAGGAUCGAACUCGCGACCUUUCGCUUACGAAGCGAACGCACUACCACUAUGCUACGGAAGCCGGUGUUGUCCUCGUUUUCCUAGUCAUUUGACUAGGGACAUUUACAGGAUACGUAAGGAAAAAAAAAUUUGUCACGCUUUGGGAUGAAAACUGGUGAGGUAAGAAUUAUUUUCAUUUCUUUUCCACAUUUUGCUUGCAAUCCAACGUGUAGAAAUUGGGUUCACGCACACGAGAGUUUAGAUAUCUCCCACCUAAAACAUAUUAUUCAUAUUUAACUAAUCAAAAUCUACUGCAAAAAUUAAGCCCUUACUUGGUGAGACACUUCUAAUCCUUUGCGCCUACUUCUAAUCCUUUCUCAUCAUCAUCCAUAACAAACUCAUAUUAUUGAUUGAUAGAGGAAGAGAUUCAAAGCGGUGAAGUUAGGAGAUUGACAGAGGGAGAGAAGGAAUAGUUUGGCAGUACUGGAAAACUGCUUUAUUUCAUGUUCAUGAAAAGUUAGAUGACAGAGAAAAUAAAUAAUUAACAGUAUAUAUGAAGUUAUCAAAUUUCAUAGAAGAGACAGUCACAAAUUUACUUUGACUGAUCAGUGUAAACUCAUCUUACAUUAACGGCGUAGAAAAGAUUUAAUUUGAAAUUAAAAUUUCAUUUGAAAUGGCAAAAACAUCGUAAAAUUGAACACGUACACAAACAGGAAAAAUAAUACUUGUAUCCUUUAUCACGUUAACACUUACCAAAAUUUAAGAAUUUCAAUACAUAUAUUAUGAAAAAACAAAGACUAUGUUGCCUUGUUUUUUCUCUUUUUGGCCUUUCAAUAAAAGUUUUAAACAUUAAUUUUCUUUUAAAUUUUUGUGUCACGAGUUUCAAUUUAAUUGUGUAAAAUCACAGCUUUUUUCUGAACCAUGUACUUUAAAGGUACAUGAUUGAUUAUAAACAUAUCAAAAGAAGAGAGAAAUAUAUGACAAUUGUAAAAUUAUCAACCACCACUUAAAUUGUGAUUAUUAUUUCAUGAAAAGAAUAUAUCUGUUUCCGUAGGAUAGUAUAGUUAAGUGUUGGAGGGAAAUACUAGUAAGUGUGUUUGGAUCGCUGAAUUAUUUUUUUUAAUAUUUCGCUUGCACCAUAAACAUAAUUUUCAAUCUACUUUUUUAUAUUUUUAACUAUCUUUUUAUCUCACAUACAUUACAUCAUAAAAAAUAUUAAAUUAAUUAUUUCAAAUAAUACUCUAUCCAAACACACUUAAUAGUACUUAAUGUGUCUGAAUAGGAUAUUAUUUGGACAUUUAUUUUGUAAUUAUAUAUAUUUUUUAUAAUUUGAUAUAUGUGAGGUAAAAAUAAUUAUAAUCUCGUAAACGCAACCGAAAAGGUGUUUGUAAUCCAUAUAUUAAAAAAAAAAACCAUGUAGUAGUGCAUGUCUGAAUACUCUUUUCAUUAAACACGCGUCACAUCAUGACCGGCCGUGUCCGGCUUCUUGCAAUCCCAAUCUCACCGCCCCAAUCCUCGCCGCUUCUCCAAUUCUCCGUCCAUAAAUACAAAACCCCUUAUCUAAACCCGACGUCCCUUCUCCUUAUGCCGGCGCCCUUUUCCCCAUCUCUCCCAAGGCUCGAACCCGGAAAAGGAAGAUAACUCCCCCCCCCCCCCGAAAAAAAAAGGUCCAGGUUUUUCUCUUUCAAUUAGCCCUUCUACCUGCUUGUCAAGUAAUAAUCUUUUAGUACGAGACGUAAUCUUCGGGUCUGGUCUGGUCAGAGCGUUACUCGGGGUGUGCUUUUUGAACUGAGCUCAAGCUCUACCUCGGUUGCCGCCAAUAAAACCCUAGAAAACUGUCCAUACGUAUAUUUCUGAUCUAUUUUACCUUUUACCUCCUCAAAUUUUUUGAAUUUCUUAACUCAACAAGUCCUGUGGAAGAAUCUAGGGUUUUUCUAGGAAUGGUUUCAAUUUUGAUUUCUCCUCCUUUGUCUGCAAAAUGGAUGGAAUUUUGGGAAAUAUAGUUUGGAUGAAGUGAUAUGAAGUGGCGGUGCCGAAUAUGAGCGAUGGAGGUGGGGAGAAUGUAAAAGAGGGGGAAAAUAAUUUGAAUCAUCUCCAUAGCAAGAAGAGUAGGUCACGAGCUGACGACUUCGGCCUUUCCAUUGCUAAAGUUGCUGUGGCUCAGAUAUGCGAGGCUGCAGGGUUCCAGGGCUUCCAGCGCACCGCUCUGGACACCCUGUCUGAUGUGGCUGUUCGGCACAUUUUAGAGAUCGGGAAGACUGGGAAUAUGUUUGCAAAUUUAGCGGGUAGGAGUCAGUCUAAUGUGUUUGAUAUAAUUCAAGGGCUGGAAGAUUUGGGUUCAAUACAGGGAUUUUCGGGUGCUUCCGAUGUUGAUCAUUGUCUUUUGGGUUCAGGGACUGUGCGGGAGAUGGUGCGGUAUGUUGGAGAGGCUGAGGAGAUCCCAUUUGCUUAUUCACUUCCUGGAUUUCCUGUUUUAAAAGAACGGGAGCCUGGCAGGACUUUUGAGCAGACUGGAGGGAGCCCACCUGCUGAGCAUAUACCACCUUGGUUACCUGUAUUUCCAGACCCUGAGACCUAUGUCAGCCUGCAUAAAAUAGAUGAGAAAAUGGCACAGAUUUGGGAGGACGAAGUCGGGGGGCCUGUUGAAAAGAGAAGAGAGUUGGAUAAAACUUUUGCAAAUUUGCAGCAGCGAAUGGCUUGUAACGGGACUCAGCCAUCCGUAGAGGUUGAUUUUGGGAAUGAAGCUAAAGAAAAGGGAUUGGUGGAAUGUAAUCCAUUUCUUACUCCACCUCUGCAGCAUGGGGAGAAGGAGGUGUCUUUAGUUCUUCCUCCUGCUAAACUCUCGGACGAAGUCUUCCUGCAGAGUGCUAACCUUGAAGUUCCGGUUAGUCACAUUUCUGCAAUGGAGACAUUUGCACCUGGCAUUGAGGCGGUUAAGAGUGGAACAUUUGAUUUCGAAGAUGGGAGGAAAAAGGUUCCUUUGAACGGGAGACCAAAUGUGCGAUUUAAGCUUGGAGGUGGCAAAAGGUGCUUGCGUGUGGCUAUAAGCUCUCAGAACCAGGGAAUUGAUAAAAAUUCCACUUGGUUUAGGAAUGACGAUGGGAUGGAUGACAAGAAAAGGCGGGUGGAACAAAUUCUGAAGCCGUCAUACGAAUCUGCAGGAACUGACUCACUUGUAAAUUAGGUGUGUUCAUAUUUGAACUUGUACACUUCUUCAGGGAACUGGCAAUACAUGCUGGUUCCAGGUUAGUUAGAAUGAAUGUAUUAGAGUUGUCUGUAUACAGGACUGUUAGAGACCGAUGUUCCCACAUAUAACAAGUUCUUGGGGCAAGUCAUUCUCGGUUGUCCUCGUGAACGUCUAUCGAUGAUAAUUCUUCGCAGUUGAUAUAAUGUUUCUACGUUUGCUGUGCUGUGCUUUUUUGUAUUUAUGACCUGAUAAUCACAAAGCUAAUUGUUACUGUUUAACUUUUGAAAUUUUUGUCCUUUUAUUCUGAUGAAGUUAUUGUUGCAAGGAUUUCCAUUUUCAUGGGUAUUUUAGGAUUUAAGUGUACUUGAAGAGAUCAUUUCCAUUUUCGUGGGUAUUGCUAGAACAAUGACUUGUCAAAUUGCUAUUGCCACCCCCAGUUUUUCAACAUUUUGUUGGCAUUUUUUGGUGUAUGUAUGUCUCUCUGCAUGUAUUGGAAUAGGUUCCAAUAAUGUACAUUGGCAAAAUCUUUUGCUAGAAGUCUUCCAGAACUAUUAAAAAUUAUAGGAUUUCAUUAACUGAUAAGGAGUUUCUGAUAAUCUCUUUUCCUGAAAAUUUUUGUUUUUCGGCCAUUUUUUCUUGAAACCAACAUGAUAACAGCUAUAACGAUUUUGCUUUCUGUCUUUACAUUGUCAAUGCUACAACUUGGAAAUCCCUUUGUUAGGAUGCUUGCUGAAACUUGAUUUCUCUGGUUAGUACUUGGCUAAAACUGAGCCAUGUUUAUUUGAAAUGUUCCCCACCCCUGCCCAACACCCCCACCCCAAAAAGGAAAAAAAAUUGUUGUGACAGGCGAAAUGGAGCUGCAAAUCCUGUAUUAUGUGAAAGGAUCUUAUAUCGGAUCCCUUGUUUUAGUACCUCUAGUGUCAGUGGCCUUGUGAAAAAAUGUUAGCAUAUACCUGGGAUGAUCUGACUAGAAUGCCCAUAUUUUCUAUUUGAUAGUGAGCAGGCAAGUGUGAGCAAUCCUGACUGGUUUUUUGUCAUACUUUCUGGGGGAAAAAAUGGACGAUCUAGAAGGGAAUAGGACUCAAAUGAGCUUUUAACUUUUUGUAUUGCCGUCCUUUCACGAACCAAAUGAUAUUCCCAGCUAUACACAAGAUUCAUCCACAAGUGCGUAUCUGGAACAUGAAAAGGGGAAAACUCCAUCUCAUGUACGAGGAUGUUUGUAGUUAGACGUAAGAUAGCAUCUUCUUUACAGGAUGGCUGGUGUCUCGUGAGCAAGACUCCUAGCUAUUUGGAACUGAAUUGUGAGAAGUUGCAAGCAAUGGUACCCAUUAAUGGUGGGGAAGAAAGAGAAUGUUAAGAAAAGAACACAAGAUUAACUACUCAUUAGUAAAUGGUUUUACAUUGCCUUCCAGUCCAAUCACACUGCCCCAAAGCCUGAGCAGUAAUUACCUCGGUUAUCAGGUCCUUAAAAAUGAGUCGCUCCAUGUCCAACACCACUGCUGGAAUCAAACUUGGGUAAUCUGCCCAG